CACUUAACCAAAAAAAUAACUUUGGUUCUUCCUCUUUGCAUCUUUCACUUCCCCGGCGAGGUAGAGGUCGAAUCGCAUUAAUUUUUUCGUCAAAUUGACAAUAACAACCCUAAUCGCCACCGCUGCUCCUUGUUUUGUUCGCCGGCGCAGUCGAAGCUUUGUUACAACCGCUGCUGCUCUCUGUCGAUUUCACCACAAACAUAAUCCGGCGAAUCUAAAAGCCACGGAACCGAAACGAGGAGUUUGUUGUUGGUCUGAUUUGAUCUUGCUCCUCAAUUGUUUCGGUGGUCCUCAAAAUAAUCGGUGGCUUUUAGUUUCAUAAAUCUGCUACCGAGCACUGUGUUUUAUCAAACCGGUGACUGAAAUUUCCGGCGGUGCUGUUUACCUUCCAGCAAGAAGUUCUUUCUUCCAUUGUUCUCAAAUUUAGUCCUUUGAUCUUGGUCCAAUAUUGCUUUGGUGGUUCUCAAAAUUAACGGUGGAUUCAAUUUUCAGUGGGUUCAAUUUUCUGUGGCUUCAAUUUUCAUUUUUCUGGAAUGGCAUCCUCGAGUACAGUCUCAAAAUAUCCUCCUCGCCUCUAUGAAGAAGGAAGAUCUCCCUUGCAAAACAGGAGCAUGAACCACAAUUGCUAUUUGUCAAAAAUUGGGAAAAUGAAAGAGGGUUUAGUCUUGGAUGUUGAUGUUCAUAUAUUUUACCAUGUUUUCCUUUAGUUUAU
Molecule: non-coding RNA, 712 nt
Organism: Camelina sativa (false flax)
Lineage: Eukaryota; Viridiplantae; Streptophyta; Magnoliopsida; Brassicales; Brassicaceae
Source: RefSeq, a predicted model, not a curated record